This 496-nucleotide ribosomal RNA is filed under the name uncultured bacterium. RNAcentral describes it as "partial 16S ribosomal RNA". It matches the Rfam family "Bacterial small subunit ribosomal RNA", at positions 28 to 507 of the family's 1533-position model. The record is from RNAcentral.
GAUGAACGCUGGCGGCGUGCCUAAUACAUGCAAGUCGAGCGAACAGACGAGGAGCUUGCUCCUCUGACGUUAGCGGCGGACGGGUGAGUAACACGUGGAUAACCUACCUAUAAGACUGGGAUAACUUCGGGAAACCGGAGCUAAUACCGGAUAAUAUAUUGAACCGCAUGGUUCAAUAGUGAAAGACGGUUUUGCUGUCACUUAUAGAUGGAUCCGCGCCGCAUUAGCUAGUUGGUAAGGUAACGGCUUACCAAGGCAACGAUGCGUAGCCGACCUGAGAGGGGGAGCGCCCACGGUGAAAUGGAGACGGGGCACAGACCCCUAGGGGGGGCAGGGGUGGGAAAUUUCCCGAAGUGGGCAAAAGCGUGAGGGGGCAGCGGCGGGGGGGUGAGGAGGGUUUGGGGUGGGUAAAACUCUGUUAUAGGGAAGAACAAAUGUGUAAGUAACUAUGCACGUCUUGACGGUACCUAAUCAGAAAGCCACGGCUAACUACGUG